UGCCCCUGCUACUAGUCUCAAAAGUGAUCACUUGACAAAGGCCCAAAGGCAGGUGCAAAAAUAAAUUCUCUUUUGCAGCCCAGAACUCAGUGUUCUAUAUGAGUUUUGGUACACACAGGACGGAACAUG
This is a small nucleolar RNA of Mastomys coucha (southern multimammate mouse), 129 nucleotides long. RefSeq annotates it as small nucleolar RNA SNORA40. NCBI's taxonomy places the organism in Eukaryota, Metazoa, Chordata, Mammalia, Rodentia, Muridae. The record is from RefSeq and is a predicted model, not a curated record. The transcript has a single exon.